Molecule: ribosomal RNA, 1608 nt
Filed under: Triticum aestivum (bread wheat)
Lineage: Eukaryota; Viridiplantae; Streptophyta; Magnoliopsida; Poales; Poaceae
Description: partial small subunit ribosomal RNA
Source: RNAcentral
AUGCUAGGGCCGCCGGGGACGGUGGACAUGGAGGCGGAGCCGGAGGCUGCAGCCGCGCUCGUGGCCUUGGGGUUGGAGCCCUCUGCGUCGCAGCUCGAUGUUUUCAAGAGCAGACUUCAUUUAUUGAUUGAUGGAAAUACGAGUGAUUUUGAUACGUGGGUAUCAUUGAUAAGUUCUGCAGAGGAAACUUCUGUUAAUGACAUAAGGGUUAUUAGCUUGGUCUACGAUACCUUCUUAUUGGAAUUUCCUUUGUGCCACGGCUACUGGAUUAAAUACGCAGCUCAUAAAGCAAGGUUAUGUACAUAUGAUGAUGUGGUGGGGGUUUAUGAACAAGCCGUCCAAGCAGUACCUCAUUGUACUGAUCUUUGGGUCAGUUACUGUGGAUUUGCUAUGAGUGCGUAUGAAGACCCUGCCCUUGUUAGAAGCUUAUUUGAGAGGGCUAUGUCUCUUGUUGGAAAGGAUUACUUGUGUUAUCACCUUUGGGAUAAGUACAUAGAGUUCGAGAAUUCUCAGAAGCAGCUGAUUCAGCUUGCUACCAUUUAUAUUAACAUGUUGAAAUUUCCCACAAAGAAGCUGCACAAGUAUUAUGGGAGUUUUAAGAAGUUGGUAACAUCAUUGGAACAAGAGGUUACACAUUGCGGUGCUGAAAUAUCAUCAGAAAAUUUACAUACUUCUGAAGCGAUGGAAUCUGAGGAAUCGGAAGGGUAUAUCUCGACUAAAGUUGCUCGCUUGUUUGACCAAGGUGGGCAUCUUAAACCUGAAGUACUGAAGCAGUACUUAUUUGCUGGGGAGCGUUUCUACCAAAGGUCCAGUGAACUCGACAAAGAAAUCUGUGGCUUUGAGGCAUCCAUCAAAAGGCCUUUUUUUCAUGUCAAGCCACUUGAUGAUGACCAACUUGAAAACUGGAACCUGUAUCUUGACUUUGUUGAGAAGAAUGGCGAUUUUGAUUGGGCUGUAAAACUUUAUGAGAGAUGCUUGAUCCCCUGCGCUAAUUAUUCUGAGUUUUGGAUUCGCUAUGCUGAGUAUGUUGAUGCCAAAGGUGGCAGAGAGAUUGCAAACUAUGCUCUUGGUCGAGCCUCGUCGUGUUUUGUGAAGGGAGUCCCGUCUUUCAGUAUGUACUAUUCAAUGUUCAAAGAGCAAAUUGGUGAUGCACCAGGUGCUCGUGCUCUUUUUGUUGAAGGAAGCAGUAAUUCCACUUCAGAUUUCUGCAUGAAUAUUAAUAGACUGGCCAACAUGGAGAAACGCAUGGGAAAUACCAAAGCAGCUACUGAGAUAUAUGAGAAUGCAAUUCAGGAUGCCAUGCAAAAGCAGAACACUGAAGUACUACCGGACCUGUACACUAAUUUUGCGCAAUUCAAAUAUGCGGCAAGUCAUAGCAUUGGUGAAGCUAAAGAAGUCUUUGUCAAGGGAAUAAAACAGGCACCCUGCAAACCAUUGAUUAAGGGAUUCAUACAGUUCAUGAGUACAUACGGAGGAUCUACAGAAAUACCUCUGCUUGAUUCUGUUAUUGCUAAUGCCGUGAUUCCUGGAUCUGGCGUAUCAACAGCUUUAAGCCUUGAAGACCGUGAAGAUAUCUCGUUGUUGUUUCUAAAGGUUAGAGUUUGUUGA